AGGCGGGCUCAGCUCCAAACUGGAUUUGGUCUCCCAGAGAGUCUGAGAUUUGAAGGUCUCAUAUGGGCUCACGUGCUCUGCUUGAGCUCCUCUUUCCUGUGUCACCAUCUAAAAAGUAUCCUUGGUCAGAAAGCUUAAUACCUCCUCUGAAGACUGAUAAUAUACAUCAUCUUCCUGGACCAGUCUACAAGUGAGGGACAGUGAAUAUUUUGAAUGGCAGCUUUUAGAUAACAAAUCCUCAAAGAGAGAUAGAGUCUUACUCAUCUCUAACAUGUGCUUGACUGUGGAAGACUGCCAAUUAAUAAUGAUUGAGUGAUUUGCUAAAUAAAUAAAAUCUCUGAACAUUGCAGUUAAUGUUAUUUUGGAGAAAAUAAGCAGAAGGCAUGGGGACUGGAAGUUGUGAGGUACGAUGAGGCUUUUGCUGAUACAGGAAUGAUGUCCUCACCCACUGGGCCAUAGGAGUGGCCUCCCAGGAUCAAAGAACAUGGGGAGCCAGCACUGCCAGGACGAAGAAAGAGCUUCAUUACUAUGAACUUGCUUGUGGCUGGAGGAAUUGAAGUGGAGACGCUGACUCCCGUGAGCUUGGAGACUGCAGGGAUGACAACCUUAUGUUACAUUGAUGUGUUCUCAUUUUUGUUGAGUAUGACUAUACUUCUGUACAUUUUAUUUCACUCUUUAAACAUUUAUGUUCCUGUG
Molecule: long non-coding RNA, 696 nt
Filed under: Homo sapiens (human)
Lineage: Eukaryota; Metazoa; Chordata; Mammalia; Primates; Hominidae
Description: HSALNT0365848
Source: RNAcentral